UUUCCGUCUCCACGUUUAUGGUCAAAUAUAUUCCUACAGCAGUCAAAGAGAAGAGGAAGAAGAGUUGGGGAAGAAAGCUAAAGAGUCGAGAAAGGGAAAGAACGCAUGGAGGGAAAACAUAAGCGCAGAGGAAAUAGAGGAUUACUUUGGGAAAUCGAGUAAAGAUGCUCUUCUGGCGGCUCUCUUUCUCAGUUUCUAAGCGAAUCACUUUUCUAUAUUGACAAGUCCAAAGUUUAGCUCAACUUUAACCUUAACCUUUGAACUCAACAUGAUCGUUCUGUUAAGAGGAAGAUUGAUAAACACAGACAAAAGGUGGUCCAAUGUGAUGGUGUAAUACAAAAGAACCCCUUUGUUCAGGCAUUACUGACAUCAAAAUCAAAGAAGAAAGAUAAAGGCGUCUUGAAAGAAAACAUGUAACACAAGAUGGUCCCAAGUUAUUUUUUCUCAAGGACAAUGAUGGCAGUGAUUCUGUCAUGGUUGACAUACAGUCAAAUGAAGGUAUUUUGCAUAACAGUUUUAGCACUUUUGGGGUUUUGUUUUUAGAUUAUGUGUUUGAGGGGCUUACUGUGUUAACCUUUCAGAUGAAGGGGACAAUAAAUCAAAAAAGGUAAACUAUUGUUACUACUAUUUGAAUGUAGUUGUGAUAUCAGCUAGCGUAUUAAAUUACUAUACAAUAGGCAAUGCUUCCACUGCAGAUGGCUUUGUUCAUGAUUUUGGUAAUUCAGUUGGCUAAGGGGCAGACUCAGGCUAACGUGUGUAUAUGUGUGUUUGUGUGGGUAUAGAUUGUCUGAGUGAAUGGUGGAACUGCUAAACACAUGUAUACACAAGUUAGCAUGAGUGGAUGGUGGCUAUGUUGUUGAAUUUUCUCUAGGGAGCAUAUGAAUCACCCAAACAAACUCAUGAAUCUUAUUUCUGGGCUUUAUGUUUCUGUAUUUCCCAUAACUUACAUGUUUAGUGAUAAUUUUAUUUUGAUAUAGAGGUAUGCAUGACGAUGAUGAACUUAUGAUGGGAAAGAAGCACAAUUAUUAGAAAAUGUUUCAGUUUGAUUAUAAGUUGAAGCAUCUUAAUCAGUUUUGUUUCUUUUUUGACGAAGUCAUUUCUAAAAUUUCAUUGUGGGAACAUUCAUGGAGGAAAAAGCUCAGAACCUAAGGAUCUUCUCUCAAUGCAGAACAAUCAUUCUCUCUUCAAAUGAAAACUAAGCUAGAAGUCUUCUCUCCCAGCUACUUCAAUAGAGAAGUCUCUGACUUCUGGGUUGUUAAUGGUUACACCCCUCAGUCAUAUAAAGUUUACAGAGGGGAAAUUGUAAUUGAAGAGGUCAUAGGUGCACAAAAGUGAUAUUUGAGUGAAGAAUAAUGUUGGUGAAGCGAUGUGACGAUUGGGAACAAACAUCUUAAGAGUCGGAGUUAAGACAGGGAAGUUAUGAGAUUUUGGAGAGAAUAUCUUCGGAUUUUUGGCAGAGUAUUCAAUGCCUCAGCAUGGAGAAAUUAUUGAUGCGAAAUGGGAAAGAUAGAGUAACCAAUGCCUUGACAUGGAAGAGUAACUGCUAUGACAUUGAAUGCUUCAAUGCCAUGACAUGCGUAGAGAAGUUGAAAUUUUUCUGAAGUAUUGUAUCGUAAUUUGUUUGAGACUCCCCCAAUGACACCCCAAUGAACCCUAACAAUAUAAAUAGUCUCUUUCUAGCAAAAUUGGGAGAGAGCUGAGCUGUGAAAGAAAACUGAAGAGAGCAAACGGGAAGAAUUCAAUAUUGACACCAACUUGAUUUGCUAAGAUUUUCUACUCAUCUUCUGUUGUUUGUCCUCAUGAAUUUUGAUUUAGUUCUUAUAUUUGAAUAGAUAACUAAUCUUCUUGCAAUUAGGGUGAUUUCAAAACCCUAGUUAUGAUUUACGACCAUUAAUAACAAGUGCACUUUCUUUCUUUGGUUA
This is a long non-coding RNA of Mangifera indica (mango), 1922 nucleotides long. RefSeq lists it as uncharacterized. Lineage: Eukaryota; Viridiplantae; Streptophyta; Magnoliopsida; Sapindales; Anacardiaceae. The record is from RefSeq and is a predicted model, not a curated record. The transcript has 4 exons.